UACGGAGGGUGCAAACGUUGCUCGGAAUUAUUGGGCGUAAAGCGUGCGUAGGCGGUCUCGCAAGUCGGGUGUGAAAGCCCUCGGCUCAACCGAGGAAGUGCAUUCGAAACUACGAGACUUGAGUACCGGAGGGGAUGACGGAAUUCCCGGUGUAGAGGUGAAAUUCGUAGAUAUCGGGAGGAACACCAGUGGCGAAGGCGGCUCUCUGGGCAGAUACUGACGCUGAGACGCGAAAGCGUGGGUAGCAAACAGG
This 253-nucleotide ribosomal RNA is filed under the name uncultured bacterium. RNAcentral's name for it is "partial 16S ribosomal RNA". It matches the Rfam family "Bacterial small subunit ribosomal RNA", at positions 524 to 776 of the family's 1533-position model. The record is from RNAcentral.